Molecule: ribosomal RNA, 1600 nt
Filed under: metagenome
Description: bacterial LSU rRNA
Rfam family: Bacterial large subunit ribosomal RNA
Source: RNAcentral
GUCGAGACGUGGGUGAGAAUCCCACGGGCCGUAAACCCAAGGUUUCCAGGGAAAGGUUCGUCCGCCCUGGGUUAGUCGGGACCUAAGCCGAGGCCGAAAGGCGUAGGUGAUGGACAACAGGUUGAUAUUCCUGUACCGCCAAUAAGCGUUUGAGAGAUGGAGUGACACAGUAGGAUAAGCUAACCGUACUGUUGGUUAUGUACGGCUAAGCAUUGAGGCAGUCUAAAUAGGCAAAUCCGUUUAGACAAUGCUAGGAUGUGAUGGGGAAGCCCUUCGGGGCGAAGUAGCUGAUUUCACACUGUCAAGAAAAGCUUCUAUCGAGUUUAAAGGCGCCCGUACCGUAAACCGACACAGGUGGGUGAGGAGAGUAUCCUAAGGCCAGCGAGAGAACUAUUGUUAAGGAACUCGGCAAAAUGACCCCGUAACUUAGGGAGAAGGGGUGCCUGUCUAUGACAGGCCGCAGAGAAUAGGCCCAAGCGACUGUUACCAAAAACACAGGUUUCUGCUAAGUCGCAAGACGAUGUAUAGGAGCUGACGCCUGCCCGGUGCUGGAAGGUUAAGGGGAUCUGUUAGAGCAAUCGAAGCAGUGAACUUAAGCCCCAGUAAACGGCGGCCGUAACGAUAACGGUCCUAAGGUAGCGAAAUUCCUUGUCGGGUAAGUUCCGACCCGCACGAAAGGCGUAACGAUUUGGGCACUGUCUCAACAAUAGACUCGGUGAAAUUGUAAUCCUGGUGAAGAUGCCGGGUACCUGCGACAGGACGGAAAGACCCCAUGGAGCUUUACUGUAGCUUGACGUUGGGUCUUGGUACUACAUGUACAGGAUAGGUGGGAGACUAUGAAGCAUGGACGCCAGUCUGUGUGGAGUCAUCCUUGGGAUACCACCCUUGUAGUACUGGGAUCCUAACCAUAGGCCUUGAAUCAGGUCUUGGAACACCGUCAGGUGUGCAGUUUGACUGGGGCGGUCGCCUCCUAAAAAGUAACGGAGGCGCUCAAAGGUUUCCUCAGCACGGUCGGAAAUCGUGCGAAGAGUGUAAAGGCAAAAGGAAGCUUGAUUGCAAGACAUACAGGUCGAGCAAGGACGAAAGUCGGACUUAGUGAUCCGGUGGUACCGCAUGGAAGGGCCAUCGCUCAACGGAUAAAAGCUACCCUGGGGAUAACAGGCUUAUCUCCCCCAAGAGUCCACAUCGACGGGGAGGUUUGGCACCUCGAUGUCGGCUCAUCACAUCCUGGGGCUGUAGUAGGUCCCAAGGGUUGGGCUGUUCGCCCAUUAAAGUGGUACGCGAGCUGGGUUCAGAACGUCGUGAGACAGUUCGGUCCCUAUCCGUCGCAGGCGUAGGAAAUUUGAGAAGACCUGUCCUUAGUACGAGAGGACCGGGAUGGACGUACCUCUGGUGUACCAGUUGUUCUGCCAAGGGCAUGGCUGGGUAGCUAUGUACGGAAUGGAUAAGCGCUGAAAGCAUCUAAGCGCGAAGCCAACUUCAAGAUAAGAUUUCCCACCGUAAGGGUAAGACCCCAGGAAGACUACCUGGUUGAUAGGUCGAAGGUGUAAGUGCAGUAAUGUAUUUAGCUUAUCGAUACUAAUAGGUCGAGGACUUGACC